Molecule: long non-coding RNA, 3892 nt
Organism: Cuculus canorus (common cuckoo)
Lineage: Eukaryota; Metazoa; Chordata; Aves; Cuculiformes; Cuculidae
Exons: 3
Source: RefSeq, a predicted model, not a curated record
GGGGAUGCUCCAUCCUUCAGAGCGUCUUUGUGGCCUCCUCUGGACAUGAUCCAAGGUCCAUGUCCCUCCUGUGCUGAGGGAUCCAGAGCUGGAUGCAGUAUUCCAGCUGUGGUCUCACCGCAGCAGAGCAGAGAGGCAGAAUCACUUCCCUCGACCUGCUGGCAAUGCUUCUCAUGCUCAGACAUCUCCCUUUGCUGCCUCCCCUGUCCCCCCUUUGCCUCCCAGGCAAUGCCCACAUUCGUGUUUGUGCUUUGUUUUGUUUGAUCUGAUUGGCAGAGGCGCUGCCCACGAGGACGCUGCCAGCAGGGUUUGGGUGACGCUCUUGGAGGUCAGAGAAGGGUGUGGGAGUUGUUGCUCUUCUUUCCCAGGAGAGCGGUGUGAGGGACAUCGUUCCUCAUCUGGAUAGGCCUUGGACGGCAUUGUGCAACUGGAACAAGAACUGAAGUACUGAAGAUGGAGCAAGUUAUAGAUUUACAUCAUGACAUAACAAUAUUGAAAUCUGGUGUCCCAUUGACAACUUUCCAUUCCUCUGACUUUGCAAUCAAUAUGCUUACUGGCAAGUGAAGACAUCACGAAUAUUUGUACAUAUUAGCGGUUAAAUGCAGAAAUUACAUUUUGAAUUCUCUGACAGGAGAGCAGUCACCCCUACAACACAAUUUUGAGAGUUCAAUUGAGAAACAAAAACUUGUGAGCCCAAACAAAACAUCUUGAAUUUCUCAUUUCAAUUGCUAAAUGCUCACCCAGGCUGCAUAUGAAUGAAUUUCCGAGCUGAAAUUAUGUGCAUAAAGUAUUCAGCAAAUAGCUCUGUGUAAUGAACAAAUGUGACUGAACUGCUGAAGAGAAAGCAAGGUAUGAUUUAUCCAAUCACCUACUCUUUAUGGCUGAUUCCCUAGGCUCAAAUUAGGCAAUAAUCAAGGAUCCUUCCACACCACAGCUGGAGCAACGUCGGAUGGGCUGUGAGCCUGCAGACACAGGAUUUGAGAGCUUCUGCUUAGCUGGGGCCAGUGCUCUCAGCAUCCAACACUUCUUCAGAGCACCAAAGCGCACAACCAGUUCUGGCACAGACUCUCGGACACCCACAUGCAGCAGGAAAUUGCAAUUGGUGAUCUUACUUCAAAGUACUCUCAAGUGUCUCUGUGCCAAAUAAUACAUGGCCUAAAACAGACCAACUGCACUCUCGUAGUGAGCAGGGUUAUCGCAUAGGCACAAAACUUAGCUGGUGUCGUAUCUGAGGCUUGUGGUGCAUCCAGAGGAGGGCAACAAAGCUGGUGAAGGGGCUGGACAACCAGUCUUACGAGAGAUGGCUGAGGGAACUGGGGUUGUUUAGCCUAGAGAGAAGAUGGAUUGAGGGGAGACCUUAUCACUUCCUACAACUACCUGAAAGGAGGUUGUAGCAAGGUGAGGGUUGAUCUCCCAAAUAACAAGUGAUAGGGUGAGAGGGAAUGGCCUCAAAUUUUGCCAGGGGAGGUUCAGAUCAGAUAUCAGGAAAAAUUUCUUCACCUAAAGGGUUCUCAAGCACCAGAACGGCUGCCCAGGGAAGUGGUUGAGUCACGAUCCCUGAAGGGAUUUAGAAGACGGGUGGAUGAGAUGCUCAGGGAUAUGGUUUAGUAGUGGACAGGUAUGGUUGGACUUGAUGAUCUCAAAGUUCUUUUCCAACCAAUACGAUUCUAUGAUUUUAAGUGGUGCGGGAGAUAUUGUCAAGGCUCACUUGAAGGAUAUUUUUGAAAGCCUUAAAAAAAUUCCCAUGAACUGUUCUGAGCACUGCAGGCAACACUUUCCCGCCUAAGAAAGGAAUGUGAAAACUUGUAUUUCCUCCCUAAAAGGAAAUUGCCACUGCCUGUCUCUGGUCCUGCAUGAGCCAACUAAGCCUCACUGUAGAAUAGGCAGUAUGAGUUGAAUUCUAGCCCUGGGGAAAUCAGAGCUGAGCUAUUGUUCAGUGGCAUCAUGAUUUAAUUCAGUGUGAAUGGGGAAAAAAAUCAAGGCAAAACUAUGAGAUCCCAUCCAGCAAUACACUGAAAUCCACAUCUCAGCUUAAGGUCAUGAAUAGCCUCAAAUCAAAGUACUGGAUAUACUGGUCUUCAGUGAAUAAAAAAUGGGUUUAUUUAUGCACAGCAAUACAUUUUAAGAAUGAUGAUGUUUUAAGUUGCCUAGUUCCUUGCAGCAUUUUGCAAUUUCUGUUUCCAGUUACCUUAAUUGCAGCGGUGUGGUGUGGAGCGAGUGAGAACUUCACUUCCCAGGCCAGCUCUUCUCCCUCUCUGCUCCCUGAGAGAGUCCCGUUGAGGGGGAAAUCUGCCCCUGUAGUGUCAGAAGAGUGAAGUGAGCAACAGUUUCAAAUGCUGUUUUACACUGAAACAUUUGUUUGAUAGUUGGUGUAAUGUAGUCUGUAAUAUAAUUAAUUAACAGUCCAAAACACUUCCCUAGUUCUGCCUUGGUGCCCUGCCAGUGAUUCAUAGAAGCAUAGAAUCACAGAAUGGUUUGGGUUGGAAGGGACCUUUACAGGCCAUCAGUCCAACGCCCCUGCCAUGGUCAGGGACAUCUCCCAGUGGAUCAGGUUGCUCCAAGCCCCAUCCAACCUGGCCUUGAACACUUCCAGGGAUGGGGCAGCCACCACUUCCCUGGGCAACCUGGGCCAGUGCCUCACCACCCUCACAGGAAAACAUUUCUUCCUAAGAUCUAUUCAUAAUCUCCCCUCUUUCAGCUUAAAAACAUUCCACAUUUUCCUAUCCCUGCACUCUCUGAUACAGAUCCCCUCUCCAGAUUUCCUGUAGCCCCCUUUCAGUACUGGAAGGUUGCUGUAAGAUCUCCGCAGAGCCUUCUCUUCUCGAGGCUGAACAAGCCCAACUUUCUCAGCCUUUCCUCAUAUGGGAGGUGCUCCAGCUCUCUGAUCAUCUUCCUUGCUCUCCUUUGGACUCACUCCAACAGAUACAUGUCCUUCCUGUGCUGAGGACUCCAGAACUGGACAUAGUGCUCCAGGUGAGAAUGAGCAACAUGACAUUAGCUCCCUGUUUGACACAUGUGCCUGUGACGUAAAGUCCACUUUUGACAAUAAAAGAUUAUUGUAUUGCUGGAAUUUUAAUAAAAGCAGACUAUGAAAAGACCUCAAGAACCUUCUCAAAUCUAUCCCUGUGUAAUGAGAAAGGAUCAGCCCUAUGUUUUUUUGUUCUCAAAAGCCUUCCAGGACAACUUUUUUCCAGCAGCUUAUUGCAACACUUCCCAGUCCACAUAGUUAACACAUUUUUCAAAAUUCUCUCGGACAGUAUUUCUUGUCCUGUCCACUGUGUCCAUGAUGAUUGCAGUGUCCUGUGUUAGUCAAGUCUUUCAUAAGGUGCAGAACCCGCGCGUGCUCACUUUUCCAUCACAAAUCCUGUUUUUGAGCCCUCUGAUCAUUGCUGUUCACUACUCUCCAUGCUCCUUAAUUAGCCCCCGUGGUUCCUGCAGAGCACAGUCCAAAGCUGGGCUCCAGCUGGUGCUUCCUGUGCCUAAAGGGUGAGAAAGAGCUCCUCUUCAUGUUCUCUUCCAAAGAACUUGAGCUCUUCUCCAGCUCUUCGCCAGACUGUACCUGUGUAGCCAUUUGUUCCUUCCUAAACUGAGCAUCUUGUGCGCAUCCUCAUCAAAGUGUCCUCCCUUUUUCAGACUGCAUUUCUGAUUUCUCAAGAUCCUUAGCAACUCUGGCCCUGUCUUCAUCAUGCAUCCUUGCCUGGCUUUGCCUCCAAAUAUAAACAACAUCCUUUAUAGUCCAUUGAAAAUGCUGAAUAACAUGCCAGCUCUCACACAAUGCCUCUUACACCUUACAGCUGAACCACUGAGAAUUAUUCUCUGAAACAUUCUACACUCAGACCUUUACAGCAUCAUAUCUACCAUGUUUCCUGGGUUAUGAAAAUGGCUCAUCAAA